UUCAAGUGUUAAUUCAGGUGAUUGCCAAAAUAUCAUAGAGAAGGAGCAAUUUUGGCUAAUACGAUCUGCUCAUUGCAACAAUGCUAGAAUCACUGGACCUAAUGCAUCGAGUAAACAGCUUCAGGGCAUUUAGGAAUGGAGAGUGAGCAGGUUGGGCUAGUUUUGAUAUUCCUUUAGGCCCAGCGUGGACAAAGGGUGUGGAGUUGGGGCGGUCUUCCAUUUCAUUUUUCAUAACGGGA
Molecule: unclassified non-coding RNA, 239 nt
Filed under: Hevea brasiliensis (rubber tree)
Lineage: Eukaryota; Viridiplantae; Streptophyta; Magnoliopsida; Malpighiales; Euphorbiaceae
Source: RNAcentral